Molecule: transfer RNA, 81 nt
Filed under: Felis catus (domestic cat)
Lineage: Eukaryota; Metazoa; Chordata; Mammalia; Carnivora; Felidae
Also listed under: 2 other names
Rfam family: tRNA
About the family: Transfer RNA (tRNA) molecules are approximately 80 nucleotides in length. Their secondary structure includes four short double-helical elements and three loops (D, anti-codon, and T loops).
Source: Rfam by way of RNAcentral
GCCUGGGUGGCUCAGUCAGUUGAGCGUCUGACUUUGGCUCAGGUCAUGAUCAGUUUGUGAGUUCGAGCCCCACAUCUGGCU